AAACAAUUGUCAACAGAUUAUUUGUGACUUUUUGUCCUACCAAAUUUGUGACUUUAUGUCCUGUGACUUUCUGUCCGUUUACCUUUUGUAAACACCUUCCCAUUGGCGGAUCCAGCCCCUUUUUUUGGAUGAUCAAUGAAUUUGAAUGGGGACAUGUGGUUGGAACCCCCCUUUAUCCUGGGUUGAUCCGCCCCUGCUUCCAGACCCUCAUGAGAUAGAAGCAGAGACUAAGUAAAGUUGAUGUCAGCAACUUACAUUGUAUGUUCACUGUACGAUGUUUAACAAUUGACAAAUAUAUCAAAUAUUUGUUCCUAAUAGCAAGCUUGAAAGGUCCAUACAUGACAAAAUGAAAUUUAAAAUAGAUUUAGCAUAAUAAAAACCUGCAGAAUGUUGUAUGACAUACAUGUAGGAAGUAAAGUUUAAAAGUAAGACAAAUAGAUGUUGUAUAAUAGGCUCUACAAAUUCAAAUUUCUUUUCAACUCUAAAAUAUUAUUUUUUUUUUAAUUUAGAAUGCCAAAAGAGGAAAAGAUGUAGUAAGUUAACAAAAGGAGUUAAAAAGAAAGGUAAUCCUCGACCAUGGACAGCUGUUGAUACCAUUAUGGAGGAGAUAUCUGUUGCAGUUUCAAUCCAGCACUGAGAUGAAAAGGAUCAUCCAAUUAUGACACAUCUCUGGUCGAGUUUGUACGUUCUGAGGAAAUUUCUAUUACAUCAGAAGAAGUCAAAGGAGAACUCUUGUUAGAUGAACAUUCAGACCACACUUAUGCAGCAAAAGAACAGCCAUUUGAGAAUGAAAAAAUAUGUACGCUUGAAUUUGAUUGCCAUGCUGAUUUUUUUCUUGCACCACUGGAAGGCACAGAGCAACUGAUUACACAAUACAUUUGUAAUUGAGAUAUUUGCAGUGAAUGAGACACACAAUGAACAUGAAGAACCUUGCCUUUCUCCCAUUCUCCCUUUCAGACUUUAUGCAAUUUAUUACAAGUUAGCAUCAAUGAUACAUGUACAUAUAUCCUUAGCUGUACAGAUACCGAAAUUUGCAUACAGUUGAACUGUACCAGAUCAGUUGCAGGGAAAUUAGCACGAAUCUCUCAGUUAUCAUUGACAGUAACAUUAUAAGUGAAUGUUUGAUAAUAAAAAUAUUAUUUAUACCUGGAAUGAGUUUUGUUCUCUUAUAUCUUGGUUUAAUUAUUGAAAAAGGAUGGAAUGAUGUGUAGUGAUAGUCUAGAUAUAUUGUAUACAUAAAUACUUGUUCUGAUUCUCAGUCUGACUGGUCCUUUUCAUUUCAGAAUAAUGGGAUGUAUGACAGUGUUUUUUUUUACAGAAUGAUGUAAUUUGGUUUAUCCAAAAGCCACACCAAAUUAAUUGGUUUAUAUGAUUUAUAGAUAUGCUUACUGUGGGGGGGAAAACAUAACAAAAAAAAACAAACAAAAACAUAAAAUUGUACGGCUUGUGAUAAUGGUGAAAUAUAUUAUCAUGCCUUUAUUAUCUUUGUGUCUUUCCAAAGUAAGAAGCCUGUAAUUCACUUGUGGUUUGUUGCUGUAUAUCAUAUUUGGAUUUUUUUGUACAUAAAUCGGGCGGUUAGUUUUCUUGUUUGAAUUGUUAAACCUUUUUCAUACAUGUAAAUAGACCUUGUAUAGUUCGCAGUGCAGUAUGAAUUUUACUCAUUGCUAAGAGCCUUAUGGUUACCUACAGUUGUUAAUGUCUGUAUCAUUUGGUUUCUUGUGGAGAGUUCAAUAUUAUAUUGCAUAUACUGUACAGAAAAGAAAUGUCAUACACUCGCA
Molecule: long non-coding RNA, 1778 nt
Filed under: Mytilus galloprovincialis (Mediterranean mussel)
Lineage: Eukaryota; Metazoa; Mollusca; Bivalvia; Mytilida; Mytilidae
Source: RNAcentral